Molecule: ribosomal RNA, 333 nt
Filed under: uncultured bacterium
Lineage: Bacteria
Description: bacterial SSU rRNA
Rfam family: Bacterial small subunit ribosomal RNA
Source: RNAcentral
GACGAACGCUGGCGGCGUGCCUAAUACAUGCAAGUCGAGCGCGGGAAGCAAGUGAUCGCCCUUCGGGGCGUGAACUUGUGGAACGAGCGGCGGACGGGUGAGUAACACGUGGGCAACCUGCCUGUAAGACUGGGAUAACUCGCGGAAACGUGAGCUAAUACCGGAUAACACCUUUUUUCUCAUGAUGAGAGGUUGAAAGGCGGCUUUUAGCUGUCACUUACAGAUGGGCCCGCGGCGCAUUAGCUAGUUGGUGAGGUAACGGCUCACCAAGGCAGCGAUGCGUAGCCGACCUGAGAGGGUGAUCGGCCACACUGGGACUGAGACACGGCCCAG